GGAAUCUUGCUAAACAGCAGAGUCAGAUUCAGCAGGUCUGGGGUGUGGCCUGAGAUUCUGCAUUUCUAACAAGCUC
This 76-nucleotide microRNA precursor is filed under the name Loxodonta africana (African savanna elephant). Its description in RNAcentral is "miRNA (ENSLAFG00000033033.1)". Lineage: Eukaryota; Metazoa; Chordata; Mammalia; Proboscidea; Elephantidae. The record is from RNAcentral.